AAGGAGCAGAAUUACACAUGCCAUGUGCUCCAUGACGGGCUGCCUGAGCCCCUCACCCUGAGAUGGGGUAAGGAGGGUGUGGGUGCAGAGCUGGGGUCAGGGAAAGCUGGAGCCUUUUGCAGACCCUGACCUGCUCAGGGCUGAGAGCUGGGGUCAUGACCCUCACCUUCAUUUCCUGUACCUGUCCUUCCCAGAGCCUCCUCCAUCCACUGUCUCCAACAUGGCGACCGUUGCUGUUCUGGUUGUCCUUGGAGCUUGGCCAUCAUGGGAGCUGUGGUGGCUUUUGUGAUGAAGAGAAGGAGACACACAGGUGGACAAGGAGGGGACUAUGCUCUGGCUCCAGGCAGGGACAGCUCCCAGAGCUCUGAUAU
This 371-nucleotide long non-coding RNA is filed under the name Mus spicilegus (steppe mouse). Its description in RNAcentral is "lncRNA (ENSMSIG00000000002.1)". Lineage: Eukaryota; Metazoa; Chordata; Mammalia; Rodentia; Muridae. The record is from RNAcentral.